RNAcentral lists this long non-coding RNA (932 nucleotides) under Dicentrarchus labrax (European seabass). RNAcentral's name for it is "lncRNA (ENSDLAG00005034617.1)". Lineage: Eukaryota; Metazoa; Chordata; Actinopteri; Moronidae. The record is from RNAcentral.
AUUAAGGAAGGGGUUUGGGUGAGAGGCUGGUCAGGUGUAUGAAUCAGCCCAGUUAAUAAAACACUACACGUGGCAUUUAAGUCUUAAUUCAGAAAAUAAAUAAUAAUUUAAUAAAUAAUAAUAAGUAGUAUGUGGUUGAAGAGGAGCUGAUAGUUUUAAUUAGGCUGUACUAACGUUACAGGCUGAAGUGUGUCUUAUUGUCCUGCAUGUUAAGUUAGUAGACACUGUCUAGCAGGAGAUCGUGCCCCCAUCAUCUGUUCAGACUUUGACAUUGAUAGAUAACGUCAAUUAUUUUCUGAAAUCAGGCUUUAACAGAGCACUUAUCGCUGUUUAGAAGUCAUUUAUAAAUCCCCAAAAGACUUCUAUCCAACUGGAACCAAAAUAUUCAAUAUACUGCACGAUUAAAAAGGUUUUUAACAACUUUCCGAAACUCUCCUUAAAACGAUUAACGGCCCAACCGUUAUGUUAGCCGGAAGUGACACAUUUUUUGCUGCGCAUUUUGUCAUAAAGAGCUGGGAAUUAAUUAAAAAUAUAAACACACAUUUAUGAAUCGUUAUAGGUCAAAACAUUAUAAAAUGUAUGUUUGUAUAUUGAACUGAUAAAAAAAAAAAAAAAAAAAAAAAUAAAAAAAAAGUUGAUGCGUCAUACAAGCCGAGCAAGACGAUAACGGCCGUGUUACUUCCGGCGACCAUCUUUCUCCGGUGGAGGGAAACAGUCGCAAGUUUGGAAAGGAGUCGACGUUUUUUUGUAACUUGUGCAGUCGACAGAAUAUCUUUGUUUUCACCUGGACAGAAGAUGCUUUGAAUUACCAGAGGCUUCCUAAAAUAGCGAAAUGUUCCUGUAACCAUGGAGACCCUGUGCAGAACAGCUUACAUCCUAGAAAGGAAACAGGAAACUGGCAUGUCUUUGAUCACAAAUGGACUUUGCUUUGA